Molecule: RNA transcript, 1355 nt
Organism: Rhinopithecus roxellana (golden snub-nosed monkey)
Lineage: Eukaryota; Metazoa; Chordata; Mammalia; Primates; Cercopithecidae
Exons: 1
Source: RefSeq, a predicted model, not a curated record
AUGCUGCCUGAGAUGAACAGAGACAGCAGGAUGGCAGAGGAAUCACCAGCUCAAGAAACCCCAAGACUUGGACAGUCUUCCAGCAGAAGAGGCCAGGGUCUCUCACUGUACUACCCCAAACAGGCCUCUCCCAGAGAGGUAGUCUGGGAAGGCCCAAAACCCACCAGACACAGGCACAUCCAGUGGGGAAAGACUUCCCAUUCCAGUGUGGCCUGCAUCCCUCACCUCUGCUUCCCAGUCUUCUGCUGGCCUUGGAGCAGCAGGGUGGCCAUUGCUGAUCUGGGUUAGGGAGAUGCCAGAAACACACCCAGGUUUGAACCACAAGUUAGUGGUACAAAGUCAUAGUCCUUGUGCCUUCAGAAAACCCAGAGGCCCCAAAUCCGAGUGGGAAGAGAGUUGGGAAAAACUGAACCAGAUUCUUCCAAUGGCCAUUAAAGAGAAAAUUCAGCCAUCUUUGCCUUUGUCUUUGACCCUGAGAAGUUAAGGGACACAGAUUGUGGCACUAUGAUGGGACAUGGAGGGAAGGCAUGGUGUGCUUCCUGCAGAGAUGCCUCUGGAGUCCCUGUGGCCAGGGGACCUCACUGGCCCCCUCCUCAGGCACCUUGAUGGGGCUCAGUGGGGCCCAGCCAAUGGGUAGAAGUAGAAAAACAUCAAUAGGCUGUCCAGAUCAACUGGCACCAUCCAGGGCCCUGCUGCACCCACACAUGGAGGUCACUAGCUCAGCACCAGGGGUUUUUUCACACCCAAGCUCCUUCCCUAAGGAGUCCUGUGGGGUUCCACACUCAGUGUGCUACCCAAAUCAGAGAUUCACAGAUCUGUCUCCCCUUCAACCUGGACUCAAAUUACUGCGGUGAGAAACUCACUGUCCAUGGUUAACUGAAGAAAUCCCUCCUUCACAAAGAACCUGAGUGGUAGAUGAGGUGGUUAGACAGGAUCUUUUUCCCCCAAGCUGUCUGGACAACGCCACAGCCAGGACCAACUCUUGACAGCUGCGAGAGAGAGCCCCUCCAAUGUGGAACCUCCUACAUAGCCCCCCUUUUGGGUCCCUGGAUCUGAGCCCCCAGCAGGACCACCACUUGGGGGAAGUCUCCCUCCCAUCCCUCAGAUCCCCACGUUGUUCCUCCUCUAGGAGAAAAGUCAGCCCUGCCCCUGGAGCUUCUCUAAGAUGGCACUGAACUCGCCAUUAUCUUGAGGAGCCAGGAGCUGAAGUGACUCUGGCUUAGCAACCCAGUGUGGCCAAAGUGGAAAGGUUCUCUGUCCUUUGCAGUCAACAAAAAAGAAAAAAGAAAAGAAAAAGUAUGGUCUCACAGGCACAGCAUCUUCUUUUAAAAAAUAAAUAUUUAUAAACUUAAGGA